This 6153-nucleotide unclassified non-coding RNA is filed under the name Hevea brasiliensis (rubber tree). Lineage: Eukaryota; Viridiplantae; Streptophyta; Magnoliopsida; Malpighiales; Euphorbiaceae. The record is from RNAcentral.
AACAAGAAAUUAAAUAUUUCAUUUAUGACAGGCAUUAAACUAUAUGAUUAAAAACAUUACAAAGAUGAAGUUAUUAAGUAUUACACUUACAAUGAAACAAAAUUUGCAUCUAUUAAUUCUGUAAUCAUUAUGUAUUCUAACAUAUAAUUGAUAAUUGACAAGUGGAUAAUUUACGACCCUCUAUUUCUACAUGUUUCACCAUAUCCUAUUUAUACAAGAGAGGGCCAGAUCUUGAUACUGCAAAUCUUGGCAAUGGACUGGGACCUGUACUGCCUGAAGUUGAGCCUUCCACGAAUUUAGUUUUGCGGCUUGAACUAUAAUCCAAAGGCCCAGACCGGCGAACAUUCCAGUGUUUGUUUUCAGUGCUGCGAAGGCUCCCACUAUCCGUGUCAUACGGGUGUUCCUGGUUAUGGGAUGAUGAUCCUUUAAAGAAUCCUGAAUCAUUAGUACCAUACUGAGGUGUUGAAUCUCCACGAGGCUGCUUCACCGAAGGUGAUGCAUGCAGCGAUACUGCAGGUGAAUGGCGAGGUGAUACACUUAGUAGUGCCAGUGGCAUGGAAGGAGAAUUUGAGUAGUACUGGCUGUAAAUUGAACGAAGAAUUGCGUAAGGAACAUGGGCUUCAAGAGAACUUCUUGGAAGGUAUGGGGACAUCUCACAGAGUUGGUCCAGGAAAAUAAGCUUUGCUACAAGAUGAGACCUAUUAGCAUCACUCCAAGAAUCUAGCACAAUUCCAGUGGCAAAUUUGACAAAAAGCUGCAUUGCAGAUUUAAUACUUGCUUCAGCUGAUAAACGGCUAUGUAUUUCAGGAUCCAAAGCCUCACCAACAUGGCCAUUGGAGAAAGACAGCCUCUGGUGAUGUUCACGUUCCAUUCUCACAAACUCACUUCCCGCAAUCACAGCACUCAUGCACCUUGCCAAGCAAUGAAUAUUGUUGUUGAAGCCCCCUGUGUCAACAUUGAAGCCAGUGGUGUUCCAGAUGCUUGAUGUCAUGAAGGUUGCAAAUAAAUAAGGCAACAAGGUCCAAGAACCAUCAUUUGCACCCCCAACUUCUUCAAGAAUUGAUCUUACCCACUCAGAAUCAUGAUCCAGAACCAAACCAACACUAGUUGCCACCCCUCUUAUUCUCUUUAUUUCUCUCUUUUCAGGCAUUUCUUCAGGUAUAUGCUUAACUACCCCAGCAAGUAGUGAAUAUAUCAAGGGUGCACCUUCUUCAAGCACAACUCCAGCAGCUUCAGCAAGAAGCUGAUCAAAAGCAAGCGCUUGUCCUGCCUCAAUACAAAAUCCAAUUACUGUGUCCAAGUCUACAAUCUGCUUCAAACAUGCCUCCCUUUCUAUUCGAUCACCAGAAUGCAUGCUUCCAGCAAUUGCCUCUAUCACUUCACGGUUAGAACGUAAUGAUGUGUCGACACAAUUUAAAAGUGCAGCAGUGUGCUCUUUCAUCAUUCUGUCUAGCCUGUCAACUCCAUAGCCACCAAAAAUACGAACAAAGGCCUGCAAUUCUCUGAGAUCAGUAACUGACUCGGCAAAAUAUCCACCAACAGGCCUUGUGCUUUUGAUGCAUCUGUGCAAUGGUGUAAACAAGAUUCCAGCCCCUGAUAUAUCUUUUACAAUGUUUUCUAUGUACCAGUUGCAUACAACUUCAGUGGCUGAUCCAGUAAGCUGCUCAGAUGGUUUUUCAAACAAGUGCAGAGAAGAAACAGGUCCUGAAAAAGCCUCUGUGAGUAGAACUUCUCGAAUACCAUGGGUUAGGUCCAUGCUUAUGUGCUGCUCUGCUAAAUGUACUAUGCUCAUGUGCCUGCGAAUUAACGACUCUAGUGCAGAAGGCCGUUGAAGAUCAUUGUCAGUUUUUAGCACUGCAAGCACUCUUCUCCUGAAGUUUCCGAGGAUGCACUCUCUCAUGUACUCCCUCAGAACAAAUACAUGGUUUAGAACACAUAUCGGCUCCAUGUCAUUCAAAACUGAACAUAAGUUUGUCAACCUUUGCAUUGCAGCUUCUAACAUUUUUAUAGAGCUAUUAUUCUCAGGAUAGCUCUCGUGACCAGGCAGAGGAAAUCCAACUGCUCCUUUAGGAGAUUUUGCUGAAGGAAUUGAAACUCUAGAUGCAUUAUUCAAAUAAAAAGCUGCCUGCUCCGGAAGAAGCUGAGUCUCUAAGGCGCCAAACCCUCCUUCAGAAUCAAGAAUAUUGAUCAAGCCCUCCAAUCCUCCCAUGAUAGAUUCAAUAAGAGAUUCAACAUAUAGGACUGCAUCUCGCCCAAUUUUGGUAACCUCUUCAGGAACAAUUGGAGAAGCACACUCUGAAAAACUACUAGCAACACCAAGCCAUGCACAGCAAUGCUGGGGACGUCCUUCUGGCCCAAACAUAGUGUUUCUGAAGACAGCUGUGAGGUGCUGGUGGUAGAAAUACAGUUUUCUCAGACUUCCAUGCUUCGAUAAUUGAGACUCCAACUCAUCAACGCAUCUGGACCAAUUAUAAGCAGCAUUUCCUUCUGAUAGUAGCCCUUCCUUUCCAGUGGAGACAGUAGCUUUCUCCAAAUGUCUUAUGUUUAUAGAAGACCUAGCGGAUGUGACAAUCAUCAAUAUUGAUAACCAAUCCUUGCGGAAUUCACAUAGAUCACACGUGAUGGCAGAAAUAUUUUCACCCUGUGGUUUUGGUAUAUUUUCAAGAUGAUGAACAAUCCGUUGUAAAAGCCCUUUCAAGCUAGCAUCAAUAUCAAGAGCCACCAUUCCAGGAGUUCCCAGCAAAAAGCGGAUUCUACCAGCACAUGAAGAAAGGUAUGAUAACGCAUAUCCUCGAAUAGCUGCAUUAGAUAUGAAAUAACUUUAAAGAUUGCAAUCCAUAUGAGAGGUCUGUGAAUGAAAAGAAGAGCAUUGCAGAACAUAUAGCAGCUUCAGAGUCAUAUGACUAAUAUUUAAGAGAACAUAUAAAUCAUGGAGAAAGCCAAACAAAUUUUCAUAACAUCAGUACUUUCCCAGCUCUAAUAACCAGUACUCUGCUCUCUGUUAAUAUAAAUUGGAAUUAAAUUUAAUAACUACUCUGUAUUCUUAUAUAAGAAACCUUAAUCGUAAGUUAGCACCCAUAUAAAACCAAAAAAAAAAUUUACACUGAACAAUAUUGCUGGAUAAAGCUGUUUCCCAAAAACCCAAUAAUAAAAGUGAUGCAAUAACAAAGUAUGGACCAAAAAUUUACAUCACUUCGCUCUACUGAUAAAUGCAUGGGCUGCAGUUUGCAAUUAAUGAAUUAAAAAUAUUAGACCUCCUGUGGCAUGGAUAGGAGAGCAGUCUUUCACUCUUCUUAGCUACUUAACCUUCCCAAGCACCAACACUUCAGGAAACUAUGCACCCACACUUCAGGAAAAUAUGCACCAUCAAAAGCUUUUAUAUCGACUGUUAUUGGUGCCAUAGUCAGACCUUCCUAAAAAGGUUAAAACACCAUACAACUAGGGAAGUGGGAAUUCAAGAGAAAUAACAUUACAAUUCAUGAAGAAUAUACAGGCGAUCAAGAUUAUAAAUCUCAGCAGUCAGUACAAAACGCAAUUGCUUCACCCACCCCCAAACCACAAAAAGAAUAAGUAAAUAAGAAAAUUUAAAAAAAAAAACACUUGUGAAAGAGCAAUGCAACAAUUUUAUGUGCAUUUAACUGUUUUAUAUAUAGGUCUCAUUUAUAUUAUCCACAUAUUUCAAAAUCAAUAUAAAGUAUAUCACUUGUGGAAAAGAACUAAUUUUUGCAUACAUAUUCCCAUACCAACCUGCAAUAUACUUGCGCACUAAACAACAGAGACGAUCCAUUCCAUCUAGUAAGAAACCAAUAGUUGGAUCACUUGGAUCCUGCAACCAAAAAUAAAACCCCUUUAAGUUACAGCAUUCCACAAGUUUGUCAGCAAACCUAUUACUUUAUGACUGACUAAGUCUCAGUUCCAAACUAGACUUUAGGGUUCGCCAUGCAGAUACUUCUCCACCAUUCAGCUCUGUUAGGGGAUUCCGGCAACCAAAAUAAUAACAGAAAUGCAAUGGUAAUAUAGUUAAGCAAUACAUGGGAGAAGCUGACAUACUAUGUCCACAGGUACCGCUCGAGCAGCUUUAGAUUUUGAUGGUGCAAUUCCUACAUGUUGGAAAUACCAGAUGACUUCAGAUUGGGCCAAAGCCAAUGCAGAAAAUACCAUCUGUAAGGAACACCAUCAGAUCAGGGGAAAUUUGUAGCAAGUAUUAUUCCAUUUAUACUCUGGGACAAAUGUGUAAAUUAAUGACUGAAGGGAGAAAUCUAAGGGCCUGACAAAGACACCACUUUCUAAUGACCACAAGCUGAACAUCACAGAGAGUAGGAAAACUAUUUUAAAGAUUAUUACAUUCUAUUUUGAUAAAUAAAUAAAAAAACAGAGCACAUAAAUUUUAGGAAUUUCCAAGGCUUCACCAACUGUUUCAUAAAUGUCGAGUGAGACAAAUCCAAGGAUUUUUCACUAAAAACAAGUGCCACAGAACCACAGGACACAAGUAUUUCCCACCUUUUACAGGACAGAAAGAUUUGAAAUAUAGCCUAUUGGUUGGGUACAUGUGUUUUUUUUACUACACCUUUAAAAGUGUAUGCAAAAUUAAGAGAAUCACUUCAAAUCCUAUUAGAAGAAGUCUGUAAUGAGUCUAUGGACAGUCUUACCUGGAUGUUCGGUGCCAAUAAACUCGGCUGAUCUGUAAAAAAGAGCACCAUUCUUCCAAUUUCUUGCUUUAACAAUAUUCUUCUCUCACUGUGAAUAGCAUCACAUGAUACAAGUGCUUGUUCAUGUACUUCACUUAUCAUUUUCUCAACCUGCUUUGCCACACUGUAUUCCAAGUCUGCUUCCUUUUGCUUAGCUCGUCCAGAUUUAGCCAUCUUCUUUGACUCUAAUAUCCGAGGCAAAACAUAUAACUGAUAAUCUUCAUGCAAUAAAACAUACUCAUCCCUGAAUAGUGUAAGAAUUAAAUUUUCCUUCAGUACAACCAGAGCAAUAUCGAUGCUAGUGACACGAAGUAGCUCAUCAGGACAAACAAGAUAUCCAAGCAGCACCCAUUCCCUGUAAUAUGUAACAUUUGCUAGAUCUUGGGCCCUCAUUGGGUGAGCAGAAUUUGUAAGUAUAUCUGGAUAUCUAGGAUGGUAUGGACUUAGAAACCCCUCAUUUCUGAGCUUCCUUGUAUCUGUACAUAGGAAAAUAAUUGGACCCACGGCCUCUAAAACCUCUCCAAUGCGUGGACUGACAAAAUUAAGGUCUUCUUGUAAACCUUUCAAUGGUGGAUCAUAGGAGUCUAUGAAUUGAACCAACCGAUGAUAGAAAUCACAGUCUCUGUCAUUUCUUGACAUGGCAUGAAGAAAAUUAUACAUUUGUAGCAUCAUUUUUCUUGGUAUCUUCUCAGAGAAAAGGUUAACACGGACAAAGGAACAAAACAGAUCCAUAAAUGCAUGCAGUAUAAGUGAGUUCUGAUGGGGCAACAAGGUAAUGACUGUACUACUUAGAUCCAAUAUAAGUCUUAGAGCUUGUUCCCGAAAUGCCAUCAAGUCAAUAAGCAGCUGGACCCAUGGUUCCAAGCUCUGCAAAUGAACUUCUGCACUAUCAUUCAAAGCAUCAAAAGCAAUCUUAUCAACUCGCUCAAGUUGCAGUUUGCUAAAAUGGUCUGGAAACUUUUUGGAGAGCAAUAAGCAAAUCCUCGGAUAGUUUGGGAACACACCUGCUUUCCAAAAUGCUUCCGAGAACACAUGACCAACUGGAUCCGGAUAGUCCAGGAUUUGAUUCAAUCUAUACAUUUUGGCCAUAAGGCCUUCAGCUACUUCAGUAAGCUGUACUACCCACUGCAAGUUCAAACACUUAUGAGAACCACCUGAAUUUUGAACCUGUCCAUCAGGACCCUUGUUCCUAGAAGUCCUAAAUGUCAUUGGAGAAGACAUAUCAGGACCCAAGUACUCCGUCCAUCUUGAUUGACCCUCCCACUCCUUUGAUCUUGCAGCUGUAGGUGAAAGGGAUGUGUCGUGGACUGAAAAAUCUUGCCAAGGCUUUGCCAUGAAUUAAUUAGCUCACUUGGAAACUCUACAAUUUGAAGCAGCGAAAGUUGAAAUUCACAGCGACGCUAGAGAUUGUUCGAUGGCAUCCAAGUACCGAGUUCAGAUCUGAAGAGUCUUUCUAAUACAUGCA